CUGUUCCUGACUUGAUGCUAUUACACUGCACUGCCAUGGGAAAAAUCAACGCUGUGCCUCUUACUUCCUCCACCUGAAAUUUAGAGAACACAGGACACAAAGACGGGACCUCUGUAGGUGAAGCUACCUUCUGAAUAUCCUGAAUUCCAGUCCCCUGCCCCUCAAUGAAAGGGAAGCUGCUGCAUCAACCCAAGGAGCGACUUUGGAACUUGGGUCCGGAAAACUGAGGGUGAGGAACAGAGGUCUGCGGAGCUGGGCUGGAACGACCCUGAACCCUAUGAGGAAGAUUGAUUGGGAAUGCACAGGAAAGGAAAAUGAUGCUCUACCUAACAAUGCUGGAUCCCUCCCUCAGCCCCUCCCUAACCCUGCUCCCCAAGAUGGAACAUGACAACAACGAGUGCCUUUCCAUCCUCAUUUUAGGGAGGGCUAUUUCUGAUUUCCACUGGAAGCAACUAACCCUCGAUCCUAGAGGGACCGGAGUAACAGUGGACUCCUGGCUGGAAUCCUGGCUUUUUCUCAAACCUUCAUGAGGUGUGGUACUGAGAGAGGAAGGGAAUGGAUGAUCCUGGUUGUACUGGACUCGGGGAGCAAGUAUGAACCUGUGCUUAAUUCAUUCCCCAACGGAGCUUGCAGGCACUCAAUGUGGAAAGGACAUCAGCUUACAAGGCUGUGACAUUUUAUUUCAUUCCACACUCCCAUUCAGCUGCCACUUCAGCAUUUCACAUGGAAGAAGGAAGCCGCCCAGAUCUGGGAGUCAGAGGACCUGGAUUUGAAUUCCAGCUCUGCUGUGUGUUGGUGGGUGAGUUACUUGACAUUUCUGUUCCUCAGUUUCCGCAUCUGAUUACCUUACCUGCCCCAGCACUUAGUGCAGUGCUUGUCACAUAGUAAGCGCUUAAUGAGUGCCAUACUUACUGUAAUUAUUAAGAGCAUUUGGCUAGGAAUGUGACUGUGAUACCAAGCAGCCAGGUCUGCCUGCUGGAAACUCUGCUGGAGGGAUGGUAAGAGCUGCAUUUUAUGAGAUUAUCUUUCUAAAUCUUCCAUUUUUGUGUUGCAUGUCUCCAUAUUCCAUUUCAUCUAGCUCUCAGAGCAUCUGGGAUAGGUUGAUUAGGGGAUUACACUCACAUUAAACUAUUACCAGGUACAGCAUUGUAAUGUAAAUACAGGCAUUUUUGAGAUUGCAUAACUCCAGUGGGACAGUACAAUUCUGUUUUCUACUCUGGGUUUAUCUGAAAGACUUUCUUUCAGUUGUUCCAUUGCCUCUGUUUAGAGGGGAGGUGAAAAAGCCCAUUAUGAGGCGUCUGUGAGGGUCAAAGCCAGUUGUUCAUUUAAAAAAAAACAUUUGCCAAAUCCACAUGUUCUUUGGUGCAGAGUUUUUCAACCAAAUGAAAGUGAGAUUUUCAGCUAGUACUUAAAGAGGGCUCACAGAUGGGUCUUUAGCCGGGAGACUUGAGACUGAGUACAAAAGUGGUGUGUGCUUUUCGAUUGGCUUGGGAAUCUGCCCAGGUGACCAUUUCUACUCACCCCUGGGGGUGGGUGGACUACAGGAUGGUCUAGGGAGAAAAAGCCAGAAAUACAUUGUUUGAUGGGUAUUACUGUUGCUGGACUCAAAGCUGAACUUCCAUUAGAAAUCUCUUCAAAACUCUGCCUACCCUUUUCAGGCUCUCACAUCAAACAUUGGAAGUGCCAACAGCAGAAGAGACCCAUAAUCUAUUCCAGGAAGAGAGGUGAGUGCCUUCUCUGCAGCCAACAUACAUCAGGAUUAGCACUAUGGAGAAUUCUUAAGUUCCUAUAGCCAGGCUCACUCUCAACAUGUCCACAUUCUGGGACUUUUUAGAAAACUGGUCUUGCUUAAUUAAGUAUGAGCAAACCACUUGGGUCAACUAGCAAACUGGAAUGAAUCCCUCAUUUUGAGCGAUCAUUCUGCCCAUUCAGCAUGCACUUCCUGGAAAACCCAUCUCACUUCCCCAAACCAGGCCUUGGGCUUAGCAGGUUGAAACUGCGAAAGAAGUGUUGGAUGGUGCUGGGGAGCUAAAUGAUGGGGAGGAGCUUGGGAUCUGCUGUUCUCCUGACCAGCAAGGAGGUACCUGGAGAGUGAAUGACACCCAGCACAGCCCAACCUUUGAGAAAGUCCUGGUUGGAGGGCUUUGAAGGAGGCCAGGUUGAUGCCUGACUCACCCUGGUUUUGACCUAGACCCCUGCACUCCCACUUACUCAAUUUGGGAAAAGAUUGAGAGGAUUCAAAGCUAAGGGGAUCGUUUGAAUAUUUGGCUUGCAGCUAUGCUGCCCCUUUGAAUACAUCAGUGUUGCAAUUUCCUUAUCCCCCAGGGAGGAGAAGGGAUGGCAGAAGUACCAUAAUGUAGACAGGAAAUAAGAGAUCAGGUGUUAAAGCAUGCAUUAAUCCAUCCUCUUAACCUGGUGAAGGAAGAGGCAAAUGCUGGUAUUGUAACAUAUAGUUUUGUUCUACAAUUUUGAAUAAGUGGCCAGGCAUCCCAAUUUAGCAGUUCUGUCCAAAAAUGUAAGGAUCCCUUCUACCUGCUGCUUUAGGUUCUUCCAGAUAUUGAGGUAAGUGGCUGCCCCUGUCUACUUAGGGUAGGCUAGAGCUAUAGGGAGGGGAGAGAGAAAAGGGGCAUCCAGGACAUGAAACACUUCUCCCUUCCUCUGCCCUGAGCCUUUUUCCUGUUCUCUCCCAUCCCUAUAGUGCCCCUUUGGCUGGGGAUGUAAGUAAAUCACCACUAACUUGUUUUGCUUAGUUUUGCAGGAGACUGUUACCUCCCGAAAGCCGGAGCUGGGAAAGACCUCCAGAUCAAGGGAUCUGCCACAUUACUCUCUCCUUUCCUUUCUCUUUUCUCUCUGGCAUGCUGAUUACUGUGCAGAUGGAUGCCCAGUUUUUAACUCUAGGGUCCCAGUGGCACAGCAAUUUAGAGCCAGCUAUGGGAGAGACUCUGUCGGGGACUCGGAUUUGUUCUCCACAUCCCCAUGGGCUGGCUUUUGAGAUGUGGAGAAAUCCUGGUAGACUGUACGCUCCUUUGGGGCAGGCACUGUGUCUAAAAACUCCCUUGUAUUGUAUUUUCUUAGUGCUGUGCACACAGUACGUGUUCAAUAAAUGCCAUUGUUGGUCUAUGGUUAUCUCGUU
Ornithorhynchus anatinus (platypus) is the source of this 3133-nucleotide long non-coding RNA. RefSeq lists it as uncharacterized. The record is from RefSeq and is a predicted model, not a curated record. The transcript has 6 exons. Lineage: Eukaryota; Metazoa; Chordata; Mammalia; Monotremata; Ornithorhynchidae.